Molecule: ribosomal RNA, 528 nt
Filed under: uncultured bacterium
Lineage: Bacteria
Description: partial 16S ribosomal RNA
Rfam family: Bacterial small subunit ribosomal RNA
Source: RNAcentral
UGGGGAAUCUUCCGCAAUGGACGAAAGUCUGACGGAGCAACGCCGCGUGUAUGAUGAAGGUCUUCGGAUUGUAAAGUACUGUCAUUGGGGAAGAACGGUUUUCUUGAAAAGAUUGAGAAGACAUGACGGUACCCAAGGAGGAAGCCCCGGCUAACUACGUGCCAGCAGCCGCGGUAAUACGUAGGGGGCAAGCGUUGUCCGGAAUUAUUGGGCGUAAAGGGCGCGUAGGCGGGCUUUUAAGUCCGGUGUGAAAGAUCAGGGCUCAACCCUGAGAGUGCAUCGGAAACUGGAGGCCUUGAGGACAGGAGAGGAAAGUGGAAUUCCACGUGUAGCGGUGAAAUGCGUAGAUAUGUGGAGGAACACCAGUGGCGAAGGCGACUUUCUGGACUGUAACUGACGCUGAGGCGCGAAAAGCGUGGGGGAGCAAACAGGUUAGGAUACCCUGGUAGUCCACGCCGUAAACGAUGAGUGCUAGGUGUAGAGGGUAUCGACCCCUUCUGUGCCGCAGUUAACACAAUAAGCACUCCC